CCUACGGGAGGCAGCAGUAGGGAAUCUUCCGCAAUGGACGAAAGUCUGACGAAGCAACGCCGCGUGAGUGAUGAAGGCUUUCGGGUCGUAAAACUCUGUUGUUAGGGAAGAACAAGUGCUAGUUGAAUAAGCUGGCACGUUGACGGUACCUAACCAGAAAGCCACGGCUAACUACGUGCCAGCAGCCGCGGUAAUACGUAGGUGGCAAGCGUUAUCCGGAAUUAUUGGGCGUAAAGCGCGCGCAGGUGGUUUCUUAAGUCUGAUGUGAAGGCCCACGGCUCAACCGUGGAGGGUCAUUGGAAACUGGGAGACUUGAGUGCAGAAGAGGAAAGUGGAAUUCCAUGUGUAGCGGUGAAAUGCGUAGAGAUAUGGAGGAACACCAGUGGCGAAGGCGACUUUCUGGUCUGUGACUGACACUGAGGCGCGAAAGCGUGGGGAGCAAACAGGAUUAGAUACCCGGGUAGUC
Molecule: ribosomal RNA, 466 nt
Filed under: uncultured bacterium
Lineage: Bacteria
Description: bacterial SSU rRNA
Rfam family: Bacterial small subunit ribosomal RNA
Source: RNAcentral